RNAcentral lists this transfer RNA (60 nucleotides) under marine eukaryotic metagenome. It matches the Rfam family "tRNA", at positions 7 to 64 of the family's 71-position model. From Rfam's summary of the family: Transfer RNA (tRNA) molecules are approximately 80 nucleotides in length. The record is from RNAcentral.
GGUAGCUCAGCGGUAGAGCAGUUGACUGUUAAUCAAUUGGCCGGCGGUUCGAAUCCGUCC